CCUUCAUAAGGUGAAACCGCGAACGGCUCAUUAUAACAGCUAUAAUUUACUAGACCUUGAGCAACUACUUGGAUACCUGUGGUAAUUCUAGAGCUAAUACAUGCACCGAAGUUGUUCCUUGCGGAGCAAUGCAUUUAUUUGAGCAAAACCAGGCGGCUUCGGCCGUUUCUGUUGAUUCAGAAUAACUAAGCUGAUCGUAUGGGCUUGUCCCGACGACGUGUCUUUCAAGUGUCUGCCUUAUCAACUUUCGAUGGUAGUGUACGUGACUACCAUGGUGUUGACGGGUAACGGAGGAUAAGGGUUCGACUCCGGAGAAGGGGCCUGAGAAAUGGCCACUACGUCUAAGGAUGGCAGCAGGCGCGCAAAUUACCCACUCUCGGUUCGAGGAGGUAGUGACGAAAAAUAACAAGGCCGUUCUCUUUGAGGCCGGCCAUUGGAAUGGGUACAACUUAAACCCUUUAACGAGUAUCAAUGAGAGGGCAAGUCUGGUGCCAGCAGCCGCGGUAAUUCCAGCUCUCAAAAUGCAUAGAACCAUUGCUGCGGUUAAAAAGCUCGUAGUUGGAUCUGUGCCGGCGACGUGGUCCGCCCUAACCGGCGGUACUGCGCUCGUCGGCUUUGGGCCGGUCUUCGGUCGGUCGCCUUAACUGGUGGCCGCUCGUGGCUGGCUGGUUUACUUUGAGCAAAUCAGAGUGCUCAGCACAGGCGUCUCGCCGGAAUGUUCGUGCAUGGAAUAAUAGAAAAGGAUUUCGGUCCUCUUUUAUUGGUUUUGUGGACUGAGAUAAUGGUUAACAGAGACGGACGGGGGCAUUCGUAUUGCUGCGUGAGAGGUGAAAUUCUUGGACCGCAGCAGGACGGACUACAGCG
This 864-nucleotide ribosomal RNA is filed under the name Paratylenchus holdemani. RNAcentral describes it as "SSU rRNA". It matches the Rfam family "Eukaryotic small subunit ribosomal RNA", at positions 71 to 947 of the family's 1831-position model. The record is from RNAcentral. Lineage: Eukaryota; Metazoa; Nematoda; Chromadorea; Rhabditida; Tylenchulidae.